Molecule: ribosomal RNA, 429 nt
Filed under: uncultured archaeon
Lineage: Archaea
Description: bacterial SSU rRNA
Rfam family: Archaeal small subunit ribosomal RNA
Source: RNAcentral
UACCAGCUCUCCGAGUGGUAGGGAUGUUUAUUGGGCUUAAAGCGUCCGUAGCCGGCUUAGCAAGUCUCCUGUUAAAUUCAGCGACCUAAUCGUUGAGCCGCGGGAGAUACUACUAGGCUAGGAGGCGGGAGAGGUCAACGGUACUUCCGGGGUAGGGGUGAAAUCCUAUAAUCCCGGGAGGACCACCAGUGGCGAAGGCUGUUGACUAGAACGCGCUCGACGGUGAGGGACGAAAGCUGGGGGAGCGAACCGGAUUAGAUACCCGGGUAGUCCCAGCUGUAAACGAUGCGAGCUAGGUGUUGGGGUGGCUACGUGCCAUUUCAGUGCCGCAGGGAAGCCAUUAAGCUCGCCGCCGUGGGGAGUACGGCCGCAAGGCUGAAACUUAAAGGAAUUGGCGGGGAGCACCACAAGGCGUGAAGCUUGCGGUUC